GCGUGUUUAUUAGAUCUGAAGCCAAUCCGCUUCGGCGGUAGAGGUGAGUCAUAAUAACCUUACGAAUCGCAUGUCCUAGCGACGGCGAUGCGGCGUUUAAACAUCUGCCCCAUCAAGCUGACGGUAGGAUAGAGGCCUACCGUACUUAUGACGGGUAACGGAGGAUUAGGGUUUGAUUCCGGAGAGGGAGCCUGAGAAACGGCUACCACGUCCAAGGACAGCAGCAGGCGCGCAAAUUACCCAAUCUCGAUACGAGGAGGUAGUGACAAGAAAUAACAAUGCAGGGCUCGAAGAGUCUUGUAAUUGGAAUGAGUACAAUCCAAAACACUUAACGAGGAUCAAUUGGAGGGCAAGUCUGGUGCCAGCAGCCGCGGUAAUUCCAGCUCCAAUAGCGUAUAUUAAUGCUGCUGCGGUUGAAACGCUCGUAGUUGGACUUUGGGGCAGGUGCUGGGGUCGGCCUCCGGGCUGUAUUCCACUGCCGGUCCUUAUGCCGCAGUUGCCCCCCUUGGCUUCGGCUGGGGAUCAGGGGUGGCUACGGCCGGUUACUUUGAAGAAAUUAGAGUGUUCAAAGCAGGC
Molecule: ribosomal RNA, 576 nt
Filed under: uncultured eukaryote
Lineage: Eukaryota
Description: bacterial SSU rRNA
Rfam family: Eukaryotic small subunit ribosomal RNA
Source: RNAcentral